This is a long non-coding RNA of Nycticebus coucang (slow loris), 576 nucleotides long. RefSeq lists it as uncharacterized. The transcript has 3 exons. NCBI's taxonomy places the organism in Eukaryota, Metazoa, Chordata, Mammalia, Primates, Lorisidae. The record is from RefSeq and is a predicted model, not a curated record.
GCCAGCACCAUGCACGCCGCGGUCACGGCCAGCGUGGCUGAGGAGAGCGGGCCGCAUCAGCCCCGCGUGGGCGCCGCCCCUGCCGCGAAAGCUUCGGUCUCAACCGGAAGCUCUCCUGGCCACCACCCCCGCCCACGGUGAUGAAACCGGGGCUCAGAGAAGUAAAGUGACUUGCCCGAGGUGCCAUAAUUCGAAGCAGGGCAGAGUUGAAACUCUAACUCCAACACCCACACUCUUAACUGUUUGGCUCUCCUGGUAUCUUGGAGCACCUCUCUUGGAGGAUAAUUGGACUCCUCAGACAGAACUUGGAUGCUCCCAUGGAAAAAAAGAGGAAAUGUGGACAUAGACACACACAGAGAAAGAGGAAGCUCUGCAAUGAAGGUAGAAAUAGAAGCGAGGCACCUUCAAGCCAAGGAACACUGAAGGUUGUCAGCAAAUCACCAGAAGCUGGGGGAGGGACAGACACGAAGGAGAAAGAGAUUUUCCCUUGCAGCCCUCAAAAGGAAUCAAUCUUGCCAGCACCUUGAUAUUGGACUUCUGGCCUCCAUAGCUGUGAAAUAAAACAUUUCUGUUGUU